GGAAAUGUUUGAACCAGAUGCAAGAAGGCUGAAUAGCUUGAUCUUCGUAUGCCAUGCACUGAAGUUGUUGUUGGCUUGCAAUAAGACUUUGUUGGUGAUUAUAACUCUUGUUGGGCAUAAGUGCUCCCCUAGUUGAGUUGUCAAGCUUGAGGGUUUUUGAUUAUUUGUAAAUGCUAGGAGUUCACAUGUACAAGUUGUACCACUCGUCUUCUGGUAGGUAGAAUGAAUGGUGAGUUGCUUUCAUCACUUGGUUAGUGGUACGAAGGUGAGUUCCUUCAUCAUCUUUCAUCACAUUUCAUCUCCUGGUUGGUGGCACGAGGAUGAGUUCCUUCUUCCCCUGGUUGGUGGCAUGAAUGAGAGUACGAGUU
RNAcentral lists this long non-coding RNA (368 nucleotides) under Malus domestica (apple). RNAcentral describes it as "long non-coding RNA (MDOM_LNC007952)". Lineage: Eukaryota; Viridiplantae; Streptophyta; Magnoliopsida; Rosales; Rosaceae. The record is from RNAcentral.